This 363-nucleotide transfer RNA is filed under the name uncultured Microcystis sp. RNAcentral's name for it is "partial 16S-23S ribosomal RNA intergenic spacer". The stretch from base 134 to 207 matches the Rfam family "tRNA". Lineage: Bacteria; Bacillati; Cyanobacteriota; Cyanophyceae; Chroococcales; Microcystaceae. The record is from RNAcentral.
AAAGGGAGACCUAAUUCAGGUAGGAGACGAAAAAAAAGUAGUCCCAACCAAGAAUCAAUCCCAAAAGGUCGGAGCGAGGUAUGAGGCUUUCAAACUAGGUUCUGGGUUCAUAAAAGACCUGAAUCAGGAACAAGGGCUAUUAGCUCAGGUGGUUAGAGCGCACCCCUGAUAAGGGUGAGGUCCCUGGUUCGAGUCCAGGAUGGCCCACCUGCACAGGUGGCAAAAACAAUGAAAAGAAGCUCCGAAUCAGCACCUUAUCUUACUUAUAUAGUAAGAGAGAAUGCUGGCUCUGAGUUCAGAGUCCAGAGGAACCUUGAAAACUGCAUAGAGCUAGGUGAAAAAGCCAAAAAAGAAGACCGCAAG